RNAcentral lists this ribosomal RNA (216 nucleotides) under Glomeromycotina sp. Its description in RNAcentral is "partial small subunit ribosomal RNA". The stretch from base 40 to 216 matches the Rfam family "Eukaryotic small subunit ribosomal RNA", at positions 686 to 864 of the family's 1831-position model. The record is from RNAcentral. Lineage: Eukaryota; Fungi; Glomeromycota.
GGGUCAGUAGGUUGGUCGUGCCACCGGUACGUACUGGUCUCACUGAUUCCUCCUUCCUGACGAACCGUAAUGCCAUUAAUUUGGUCUUGCGGGGAAACAGGACUGUUACUUUGAAAAAAUUAGAGUGUUUAAAGCAAGCUAACGCUUGAAUACAUUAGCAUGGAAUAAUGAAAUAGGACGAUCGAUCCUAUUUUGUUGGUUUCUAGGAUUGACGUA